GGACGAACGCUGGCGGCGUGCCUAACACAUGCAAGUCGGGCGGAGAUAUUCCGGGAGCAAUCCGGGGGUAUUUCAGCGGCGGACGGGUGAGUAACGCGUGGGCAACCUGCCUUUCACUGGGGGAUAACGCGGCGAAAGCCGCGGUAAUACCGCAUAUGGCGGGGGUAUCGCAUGAUACCCUGGCCAAAGGAGCAAUCCGGUGUCAGAUGGGCCCGCGUCCGAUUAGGUUGUUGGUGGGGUAACGGCCCACCAAGCCAAUGAUCGGUAGCCGACCUGAGAGGGUGAUCGGCCACACUGGAACUGAGACACGGUCCAGACUCCUGCGGGAGGCAGCAGUGGGGAAUAUUGGGCAAUGGGCGCAAGCCUGAACCAGCCAUCCCGCGUGCAGGAAGACGGCGCUAUGCGUUGUAAACUGCUUUUCCAGGGAGAGAAACUUGCGCACGUGUUGCGCAAUUGACGGUACCCUGGGAAUAAGCAUCGGCUAACUCCGUGCCAGCAGCCGCGGUAAUACGGAGGAUGCGAGCGUUAUCCGGAUUCAUUGGGUUUAAAGGGUGCGUAGGCGGACUAUUAAGUCAGUGGUGAAAUCCUGCAGCUUAACUGCAGAACUGCCAUUGAUACUGAUAGCCUUGAGUUUGGUUAAGGUAGGCGGAAUGUGUAAUGUAGCGGUGAAAUGCUUAGAUAUUACACAGAACACCAAUUGCGUAGGCAGCUUACUGAGCCGACACUGACGCUGAGGCACGAAAGCGUGGGGAUCGAACAGGAUUAGAUACCCUGGUAGUCCACGCCGUAAACGAUGAUUACUCGCUGUUGGCGAUACACUGUCAGCGGCUAAGCAAAAGCAAUAAGUAAUCCACCUGGGGAGUACGGCCGCAAGGUUGAAACUCAAAGGAAUUGACGGGGGCCCGCACAAGCGGAGGAACAUGUGGUUUAAUUCGAUGAUACGCGAGGAACCUUACCUGGGCUUAAAUGUAGAGUGCAUUUUCUAGAGAUAGGAAUUCCCUUCGGGGCUUUCUGCAAGGUGCUGCAUGGUUGUCGUCAGCUCGUGCCGUGAGGUGUCGGGUUAAGUCCCAUAACGAGCGCAACCCUUAUCGUUAGUUGCCAUCUGGUAAAGCAGGGGACUCUAGCGAAACUGCCACCGUAAGGUGAGAGGAAGGUGGGGAUGACGUCAAAUCAGCACGGCCCUUAUGUCCAGGGCUACACACGUGUUACAAUGGUCGGUACAGAGGGCAGCUACCUGGUGACAGGAUGCUAAUCUCGAAAACCGGUCUCAGUUCGGAUCGAAGUCUGCAACUCGACUUCGUGAAGCUGGAUUCGCUAGUAAUCGCGCAUCAGCCAUGGCGCGGUGAAUACGUUCCCGGGCCU
This 1362-nucleotide ribosomal RNA is filed under the name uncultured bacterium. RNAcentral's name for it is "bacterial SSU rRNA". It matches the Rfam family "Bacterial small subunit ribosomal RNA", at positions 27 to 1381 of the family's 1533-position model. The record is from RNAcentral.